RNAcentral lists this ribosomal RNA (253 nucleotides) under uncultured bacterium. RNAcentral's name for it is "partial 16S ribosomal RNA". It matches the Rfam family "Bacterial small subunit ribosomal RNA", at positions 524 to 776 of the family's 1533-position model. The record is from RNAcentral.
UACGAAGGGAGCUAGCGUUGUUCGGAAUCACUGGGCGUAAAGCGCACGUAGGCGGAUUUGUCAGUCAGGGGUGAAAUCCCGGGGCUCAACCUCGGAACUGCCUUUGAUACAGCAAGUCUUGAGUUCGAGAGAGGUGGGUGGAAUUCCUAGUGUAGAGGUGAAAUUCGUAGAUAUUAGGAAGAACACCGGUGGCGAAGGCGACUCGCUGGACAAGUAUUGACGCUGAGGUGCGAAAGCGUGGGGAGCAAACAGG